AUGCGUGCCUGAUUGUAUAUAUAUGCACGUGGAUUCACGAAAGACCUCCCAAACAAAAGUUGCGCCGUGUUCUCUGAGCGCCCAAGUCACGCAUUCGCCGCGCUCAUUUUCAUUCUGUGUUAAUCCAAGAUUGAUUUUGCCCCUUUGGCGCACAUCAAACUGCUCAGUGACCGUGCUCUCGGCCGCCCAAGCAAGUCCCACGUUUUUUAAGACUGAAACUGAGUGGCCGACGCCAUCGUUAGUAAGAGGAACUGCUGAAAGCACCAAAAUGAUGGGUUGCCGCGUUCUUGUCCUUGCAUGCUUCGCGCUCUCGAUGCUGCAGUCCUCCUCGAGCAUGACAACUAAGAAGGCAAUGAUGAGGGACAGUGAGAGCAUGAAGCCCGGGAAGCAGCAAGGCUCGCCGGGUGACAAAAUGCAGGGCACGACGAUGUCGGCGAGCACACCCGCUCAGGACGACGAGGAAGAUUCCAUGGAGAGCGAGAGCAUGGAAGCGGAUCAGAUGGGCCAAGGUACGAAGAACUGCACGAUGCCAGAUAUGCACAUGAGCGGGAAGAAGGACAUGACGGCGGCCAGCGGCGACAUGAAAGGCGGCGCGACGACCGCUCCUGCGAAAGCCGGGAUGAAGGGUGCCAAGAUGGGCGUGGACAUGAUGAAGGCGGGGGCAAACUGCACCGUCCAACGUAUGGGCGACAUGAUGAAAGGCGGUGCGAGUGGUACGACGAAGAUGAUGAACGAAAAGGCCAGCAUGCAGUCGACAAUGGCGCCGCCGAGGGGACGUCGGAACUAACGACACUUGUCUGCGGGAUGUCGCCUCCUCCACCUCCGACUCAAAUAAGUUCUUUAAAUAAAUCCAGCCACUGUGUUUCUGUGUUUUAA
Dermacentor albipictus is the source of this 876-nucleotide long non-coding RNA. RefSeq lists it as uncharacterized. Lineage: Eukaryota; Metazoa; Arthropoda; Arachnida; Ixodida; Ixodidae. The record is from RefSeq and is a predicted model, not a curated record.